This 305-nucleotide ribosomal RNA is filed under the name uncultured bacterium. RNAcentral describes it as "bacterial SSU rRNA". It matches the Rfam family "Bacterial small subunit ribosomal RNA", at positions 333 to 655 of the family's 1533-position model. The record is from RNAcentral.
AGCGGCCUACGGGACGCAGCAGUGGGGAAUAUUGCACAAUGGGGGAAACCCUGAUGCAGCGACGCCGCGUGAGCGAAGAAGUAUUUCGGUAUGUAAAGCUCUAUCAGCAGGGAAGAAAAUGACGGUACCUGACUAAGAAGCCCCGGCUAAAUACGUGCCAGCAGCCGCGGUAAUACGUAUGGGGCAAGCGUUAUCCGGAUUUACUGGGUGUAAAGGGAGUGCAGGCGGCUUGGCAAGUCUGAUGUGAAAGGCUGGGGCUCAACCCCAGGACUGCAUUGGAAACUGUUUGGCUAGAGUGCAGGAGG